CCUACGGGUGGCAGCAGUGAGGAAUAUUGGUCAAUGGCCGGAAGGCUGAACCAGCCAUGCCGCGUGAAGGUCAGUGCCCUAUGGGCGUUAAACUUCUUUUGUGCGGGAGCAAUAAUGGUCACGUGUGGCCAGACGAGAGUACCGUACGAAUAAGCAUCGGCUAACUCCGUGCCAGCAGCCGCGGUAAUACGGGGGAUGCAAGCGUUAUCCGGAUUUAUAGGGUUUAAAGGGUGCGUAGGCUGUGAGGUAAGUCAGCGGUGAAAUGGCCACGGGCAACGGGGGGAAGUGCCAUUGAUACUGCCUUGCUGGAAUGCGGAUGAGGUGGGAGGAAUGUGUGGUGUAGCGGUGAAAUGCAUAGAUAUCACACAGAACACCGAUUGCGAAGGCAGCUCACGAGUCCGCGAUUGACGCUGAUGCACGAAAGCGUGGGUAUCAAACAGGAUUAGAUACCCCUGUAGUC
Molecule: ribosomal RNA, 460 nt
Filed under: uncultured bacterium
Lineage: Bacteria
Description: partial 16S ribosomal RNA
Rfam family: Bacterial small subunit ribosomal RNA
Source: RNAcentral